UGAGGAAUAUUGGACAAUGGGCGAAAGCCUGAUCCAGCCAUGCCGCGUGAGUGAUGAAGGCCCUCGGGUUGUAAAACUCUUUCAAUCGUGAAGAUAAUGACGGUAGCGAUAGAAGAAGCUCCGGCUAACUCCGUGCCAGCAGCCGCGGUAAUACGGAGGGAGCGAGCGUUGUUCGGAAUCACUGGGCGUAAAGCGUGCGUAGGCGGCUUGGCAAGUCAGGAGUGAAAUCCCGGGGCUCAACCCCGGAACUGCUCUUGAAACUGCUAGGCUAGAGUCCGGUAGAGGUUAGGAGAAUUCCCAGUGUAGAGGUGAAAUUCGUAGAUAUUGGGAGGAAUACCAGUGGCGUAGGCGCCUAACUGGACCGGUACUGACGCUCAGGCACGAAAGCGUGGGGAGCAAACAGG
Molecule: ribosomal RNA, 404 nt
Filed under: uncultured bacterium
Lineage: Bacteria
Description: bacterial SSU rRNA
Rfam family: Bacterial small subunit ribosomal RNA
Source: RNAcentral